UUUGUCUUCAUCAAAUCCUUCAGUUUGAAAAGUUUCUCAUGGAAAUGAUUAAUUGUAGUCUGCUUUUCAUCUUUCUCCAAAUAUGCUUGCUUUGAUAAACCCUGUCAUGGCAAUAGCUUAGGUCAUGCAGUAUUGGUCCAUACUUCCACCAAAUGUGAAGCAUCAAGCAAUGCCUGAAACAAGACAAAUAACUUAUACAUGCUUAUGCAGAAGAAAUAUCUGUACAGUAAAUGGCUUAAUUUCUGAUCCAAAAAAGAAAAAACAAUCAGAAACUCAGAAGUGCAAACAAUACCCAUUAUUGAGCCACCACUAUUUAUGAGUCAUUUGAAUGUCCAGAAAGCUCCAUGUAACCGUUUAAGUGUAUCAACCCAAAAGCCAAGUGGUACAAUAACAGAUGAUUUACCAGAAUUGUCGCCUGACAGAAGACAUAUAUGGCUUUCUACUUUAAGUUUGCAGGCUAAUAAAAAUUAGGAAUAAAUUAUACUUACACCUAAUAGUAUAAAAAACCUACAUUUACCCUACUUAAGGUUUAUUUUUACCCAAUAUUUUAACCCAUAACUUAACAGAAUGUUAAUUAAACUCUUAACUUUAAAUGGAACCAAAAUAUCACAUCGGAAAAAAUUUCGAACAGGACCAAAACAAUCUGACGUAACAGUCACCCAAGGAUAUAAGAAAAUAUAUGCAUCCUCCUCCCCACUUAAGAGCAAUUUGACUAUUCGCGUGAGGUAAAUGGUUUCACUAACACCGUUAAUUUAAUUGGGUGUAAGUAUAGGUCUUACAAACUAUUAGGUGUAAGUGUAAUAAACGUAAACCUCGGGAGGGGUUUGUAAUUUAGUCUAAAAAUUAAAUACUAUACCUCUUUAAUGCUUCUGCGGAAAGCUAUUGUGUUCACUCAUUUAGAGGAAUAAGUUACCAAGAGCUACAAACAACUUCACGUAACCAUAGGCAUGGUGCAUUAGCAAUCACCUAGUAAAUUCCAAUGUCAUGAUAUCAUGGUAAAAGGAAAAACCUUAAUUCAUGUCCGUGGAGUGACCAGGGAAAACAUACAGCUUCAAAAUUUAGACAUAUUUGACGACAAAAGAGCGUAAACAACCUCAAAUAAACCGAGCAUACCAAAUGGGAAUUGAACCAAUGCGCACGAACAUCCAUUAAAAAGAUAAUGUAGUUGGGCUAUCAAGCCGCAGCAUCAAAUGAAAAUGAGUUGGGAAACAAUAACCAAAAAAAGAGAGAAGGGGAUAGAGGGGGGAAAGGGGUGAGGACUGCCUUGCUAUCUCCAAGCUUUGAGGGGAGGAAAGCCCUUUUCUUCGGCGAGGGAGAGGGCCAGGUCGUGGACGAAAAAGGCGUGGGCCGCGUCGUAGGAGGCGUGGGCCGCGUCGUAGGAGACGUCGCGCAAUCCCAUGGUCGAAACCACCAGCCUCUCCGCCUUCCUCACCACCUCCGGCGUCGACGCCUCCAUCUCCUUUCCUCUCUGUCUCUCUCUCCGCCAUCGCAUGGGAGAUAAGCCGCGCUGGGAGACAAGGAGGGCUCCCAGGAGACAGAAGACGAGAAGUGAAUAUUUUUCAGAUUG
This 1567-nucleotide long non-coding RNA is filed under the name Phoenix dactylifera (date palm). RNAcentral describes it as "long non-coding RNA (PDAC_LNC004040)". The record is from RNAcentral. Lineage: Eukaryota; Viridiplantae; Streptophyta; Magnoliopsida; Arecales; Arecaceae.